This 4856-nucleotide long non-coding RNA is filed under the name Salmo salar (Atlantic salmon). RNAcentral's name for it is "lncRNA (ENSSSAG00000119227.1)". Lineage: Eukaryota; Metazoa; Chordata; Actinopteri; Salmoniformes; Salmonidae. The record is from RNAcentral.
CAAACACAGCAUUUGACUUCAAACUGUAGCCUACUUAUUUAGUUAUUUCUUCAUUUACAUACAUUUUUAUUAUUUCAAUUCAUACAUAUUCACACACACACAUACAUGUUUUAUUUAUUUUUGUGUUUUCUGAUAUAGGUGGAGGAUAGUCAUACGUGGUGGCAUUGAUGGGUACAGCUGCCUCGUUGUGUUUCUCCGUGCUUCCAGCAACAAUCGCAGCAGUACUGUAAUGGAUUGCUUCAUGAAUGCUGUCUCCAGAUAUGGCGUUCCCUCCAGAGUUAGGACGGACCAUGGAGGAGAAAACAACACUGUCUGCUUGUUGAAUACUACUUCUAUAAAUGAGGUUACACCUGCGGCAGCACCUAUUCCUGUGCCCCCCCCCCCUCAUCUUCUGCACCACUUCUUGUGCCCCCCCCUCCACCAGUGCAACUUCCUGUGGCCUUCCCUCCACCUAUACCACUUCCUGCGGCCUUCCCUCCACCAUUCCCUGAGGCUUAUCGUCCACCUUCACCACAAUAUGUGGCCUCCCCUCCAUGGAGUCCACUCUCGUCUGUUGAUGUUGGUAAUGACAAUGAGUAAGUCAUCCCUGCAAAUAAUUCAAUGUCUUGUUAUUACAGAUGAAUUGUGGGAAGUAGCUGAGCUUUGUUAUUCUGAAUGUCUCUUUUAGUGUUGACCUCCAAACACUGCUGAAGUUAAUGAGAUGCCAACCAAAUUAACGUGAUGAGGGACAACGUUUAUGAUUGUGCAAUGAGAGGCUUUACGAGAGCCCGCUUUAAUCCGGAGGCAAAAAUAGGCGUGGUUUUUAGGGAUGCUGACGGAAAAGGGGCAGCUGAUGAGGGUGGUCCCUCAAGAGAAUUUCUCCGGCUGUUAAUGAGUGCCAUCCAUUCCUCUGCAAUAUUUGAGGGACCUGAUUGGCAAAAAUGCCUUUCUUGCAUCGCUCAAGGUGAGUUACACUUUUACACCAACAAAGACACGUUUGUUUAUGUCAAUAUGUAUGACUUGAGUAAGACAUUUGAUUUUUGUAUUAUGUAAUGUGUCCUUUAUUUACUGUGUCGUCUGUGUGACAGCGCUCUAUGGUGGCGUAUACAAGCAGGUGGGACGCAUGAUUGCUGUCUGUCUGGUACAUGGGGGUGUAGAGACACCAUUUUUUCCAGAGAGGCUAUACAGGCAAGUGUGUAGACUACAACCUCCUGUGCCAGAACUGAAAGGAAUAUGACUUCAGAGAGAAGUUGAAGAUCCAGUUAGCACAAACUGUUGACGAGGCACAGGAAGCGGUCAUGGAGGCCUCCGAAACAACUGGUCAUGUUGGGUUCAGUGUGAUACAUUAGUACAUUGGAGGAGAGGGAUGCCCUGGUGGAGUCAGCCACAAAGUUCUACUUAGAAAGCAGGCUACGGGAUGCUCUUGAGCAGUGAGUUUCCAUAUUAUCUAAGGAAUCUCAUAAGCCGAGUUAAAUUCUUCAGGGCAAAUUCAUUAUGUGACUUUUUUUACUUUAUAGAUUCAAAAGAGGGUCUGGAGUGUCUACGUCUCCUGCCUUACAUGAAUAGACACUCAAGCCUCUUCAGAGGUUUUCAUCUACGCUGAGAAACCUCUUUUGGCCAAAGACAAAUCUUCUCUCUUCACAGCAAUGCUCUCCCCACCUGGUACCAAUCUCAGAGAAAUAGAGAGCAGAGUUAUGUUUCUGGAGGGUCUGGCUGCUGGAGGUGGAAGGUUAAAUGCAAAACCAUGAUCAAUCAAGUAACACGGACCACAUCAGUAAAAUAUAUCACCUAAACACUCUCACAACUGUGGGACAGUAUUUUAUAGCCUUAUUCUUCCAUGGGCCCCCCAAGAAUGUAAUAGAUCAACUAAAUCCCAAACUACUUUCACUUAGAGUAUUGUGUUCUCCAAUAAGUGUUACUUAUGGACUUUAAUGUCCCCCCUCCCCUUCCCUUCUUUUUUCAGAGGGGAAAGCAUACCCUUUAACCCUGGAGAAGAUUCUCAUUUUCACUUCCGGGGCUUCGGCCAUUCCUAGGCUGGGAUUCCCAGUGGAGCCACAGCUACAAUUCUUACACAAACAAGAGAAUGAGGCUGCCAGGAUGUUCCGGAAGCAAAUACAUGCAGCAUUGUUUUAAGGCUGCCAACACAUCCAACCCUACGCAGCCUUCAGGGAGAAAAUGGAGAGUGAAUUUUACAAUCACCAACAUUUAUUUUUUUGUAUGUAUUUUUCUUAAGUGCAUUGUUGGUUAAGGGCUUGGAAGUAAGCAUUUCACCGUAAUGUCUACACCGGUUGUAUUCGGAGCAUAUGACAAAUAAAAUUGUAUUUGAUUUAAAGGGAAUUCAUUUAAGGGAAUUAUCCAAAAUGUUUAUUGCAUGACUACGUAGUAAAGUUCAGAAUACUGCAGCCAAUGUUAAUUGGUGAUGUGUCCCAAAACGGUUGAUAUUAUGAAAGUUUCCAACAGGAUCGGCCAUCAGCAAAAAAAGUUGGACACAGUAAUACAAAAUGCAGCUUUAAUAAAUGUAUGAUUUCUUAGUGGGUAAACUGAGCAUUAUGCAAAGUAGUGUAUUUUUAUUACCUUUAGUUAACUAGGCAAGUCAGUUAAGAACAAAUUCUUAUUUUCAAUGAUGGCCUAGGAACAGUGGGUUAACUGCCUUGUUCAGGGGCAGAACGACAGAUUUUUACCUUGUCAGCUCGGGGAUUCGAUCUUACAACCUUCUGGUCACUAGUCCAAUGCUCUAACCACUAGGCUACCUGUCACCCCUAGUGUAUGUCAAGGGACUAUAAUGUUACAAUAUGUGCAAUGUUACCAUAAAUAAAUCUUACAGUAAAUAUGGACAUUUCAUUUAAAUGUGUUAUGGCCAUAGAAACAGACACUGUAGUUGGUACAUUGGUCGUGGUGCAGCAAGUUGAUGAGGGUAGUGGAGAAGCACUGGUGGGACUUUAUGAGUGAAGUGACUGGGGGCAGAAAAGGAUAUCAGGGUGCCCAGGAACUUAAAGCUGCUGAUCAUCUCCAUGGUAAUGUACAGUAGAUGGGAGAAUGGUCAUUAAGUCUCACCGUUUUGCUUACGCUGAGACUGUUGUCCUAUCACCCUUAUGUCAGGUCCCACAGCUCCUUCAUGUACUCAUGUGUACCAUGGUUGGGUCGGGUACAUUCUGGGGAUACACAUUCUUAUGAUAAUGUAAAAAAUCUCAUUUGUUAUUACUGGGUUUACACCCAGAGGCCUGAGUCUGCUAACCAGUUUGUGGGUCAGGAUGGUGUUGAAAGCAGAGCUAUAAAAGGAAACGCACUCUGACAUAUGUAAAAUGCAUAAUUGACAAAUGGGUUCGGACAACAGGCAAACUGAAGUUGGUUCAGUGAAUUUUUGCUACCAUGUGCUACACGAUAUCUAUUGUUCCAGUUUUUAAAAUCGAUAUCGACUGGGCUGCAGUGGAGAUGGUAAGAAGCUUCGGUAUCAUGGGGACCUUACUUCUAACGUUCUUUCCUGGUACACCCACACAGACACUGCAGUCAAAACUGCCAACCAGCGGCUCUCCAUCCUACGGUAGGUAAAGACGUUUUGCCUGACGUCAAACAUUAACAAGAGUGUCAGAUUGAAGUGUCUGGAAAAAUUCUAACAGAAACAUAAGAGCAGAUUCCUUUUUUGUCAUCUUUACUGGCACAGUGGUUUUAAAAUAAUGUUUAAUUGUCGUCACUUUCAAUUGAUUCAUUGACUCCAAGAACCAUAGAGUGUUUGUAGUUCAUAACAUUUACGCACAACUGAUAAACGUUGCUUGACAGUAGAUUGGGAUACAUGUUUUAAUAACAUUGGAUAUUUGAUUGGGUUUAAUGUUGCAUACCUUGCAGUGUUGUGCAUGCCAACCAGAUGAGAAUCACCAGAGUUAAGCGUGAUACUUGUUGAAUCAGGUCUUCUCUGCUGCUUUAUCAGCCACCCCUUGCCCACUCCAAGCUCCUCUUUAUGGUUCCCUUCUGCAAGACACAAUUGUGUGAAAAUAAAGCCGAAGGAAUAGGAACCCUAUUCCUUUGAAGCAGUACUAUAUCGUACUGGGUAUAUGCCGGAAGGUGUUAUUUUACCCUAAUAGGCUUCAAUGGGAUGUAAAUAUUCUGAAAACGAAGUGAACAUGCACAUUAAAGUAUAUUCUGUUCGAAAGUUGAUAUGUUGUAGAUGUUAGCAAAGGUUUUACAAGGUUGUCACUGGCCAAAUUGGCUUUGUGAGCUUUUCAGUGUCUUCAUGCUAAUCGAGAGGUAGCACGGCUAACGCUAGCAUUGAAAUGACAGCCAGUUAGGCUGAAGAAGUUGCCUACCUUCAGCUGUUGUUUAGCUUAAUUAAAUACAACAACAAAAAACAUGUCCUGCUUCAGUACUAGCCUAUUAGUCACAUUUAGGUAGCUUGUCCAAAACAGUCCAAAAAUCGACAACUAGCAGGAUUUUGAACAUUAUGUUUUUGGAGUAUCUCCAUUGUCUAAUCUAUGUAUGCCUGGCCCUGCAUUCAAGCAACAACCUUGCUAGUAUGUAAUUUACCUCGAUAGUAUUAACAUAGUCUAAUGUGUUUCCGUGGCUGUUAUGGUUGACAUGUUUUUUCAGCAUGUUUUUUCUUAAUAAAACACAAGACUGCGUUGUUCACUGCGGCUAGCAGUAUGGCCGGUCAGAGUUUGAGGCAAACUAAUAAUGGCUGGGGUUCGAGGCUACCGACGUUAGCUAAAUUAGCUAGCCUGUAUCUGACUUAGUUUAUGCUAAGCACUGCUGAUCCUGGUGCUAGAUUGUUAUCUGAAUUUUAUAGCCAGUGAUGAGAAACAGAUCCUUCCACUGUAAACUAGCUGAUAAGCUUUAUGAUUCAGUAACAACAAUUUUCAAAGACAAAAGUUAGCGUGUAUAGUUAG